NNNNCUUAAGCAUAUCAAUAAGCGGAGGAAAAGAAACCAACAGGGAUUGCUUUUAGUAGCGGCGAGUGAAGCGGCAAUAGCUCAAAUUUGAAAUCUGGCACUUUCAGUGUCCGAGUUGUAAUUUGAAGAAGGUAUCUUUGGGUCUAGCUCUUGUCUAUGUUUCUUGGAACAUAACGUCACAGAGGGUGAGAAUCUCUUGCGAUGAGAUUUCUAGAUCUUUGUAUAGUUCCUUCUUAGAGUUUAGUUGUUUGGGAAUGCAGCUCUAAGUGGGUUUUUAAUUCCAUCUAAAGCUAAAUAUCGGCGAGAGACUGAUAGCGAACAAGUACAGUGUUGGAUAGAUGAAAAGAACUUUGAAAAGAGAGUGAAAAAGUACGUGAAAUUGUUGAAAGGGAAUGGGCUUUGAGAUCAGACUUGGCAUUUUGUAUGUUACUCUCUCGUGGGUGGCCUCUACAGUUUAUCCGGGCCAGCAUCAGUUUGAGCGGUAGGAGAAUUGCGUAUGAAAUGUGGCUCCGCUCUCGGGUCGAGUGUUAUAUCUUUCGUCGAUACUGCCAGCUUAGACUGAGGACUGCGGCUUCGGCCUAAGAUGUUGGGGAUAAUGAUCUUAAGUCGCCCGUCUUGAAACACGG
Molecule: non-coding RNA, 626 nt
Filed under: Lodderomyces elongisporus NRRL YB-4239
Lineage: Eukaryota; Fungi; Ascomycota; Pichiomycetes; Serinales; Debaryomycetaceae
Description: Eukaryotic large subunit ribosomal RNA
Rfam family: Eukaryotic large subunit ribosomal RNA
Source: Rfam by way of RNAcentral